CCAAUAGCGUAUAUUAAGGUUGCUGCGGUUAAAAAGCUCGUAGUUGAAUUUCGGGAUUGAUGCAUCGGUCGUGCCUUAAGGGGUAUGAACUGGUGUGGUCAAUUUCUUACCUUCUGGUGAAUUGUGAUGUCCUCCUUAAUUGGGUGUUUCAAUGAACUAGGACUUUUUACUUUGAAAAAAUUAGAGUGUUUAAAGCAGGC
Molecule: ribosomal RNA, 200 nt
Filed under: uncultured Glomus
Lineage: Eukaryota; Fungi; Glomeromycota; Glomeromycetes; Glomerales; Glomeraceae
Description: partial small subunit ribosomal RNA
Rfam family: Eukaryotic small subunit ribosomal RNA
Source: RNAcentral